GGGGCAGCCGGCAGGGCCUGCGCCGCCUGCCCGGCCGGCCGUGGGUAGGAAGGUGGUCUUGACCGGGACCCCCGGGUGCCACAAAGCGCUGGCGCUUUCAGGGCUCGGGCUGCGUCGUGGCUGGGUUGGUACACAGCCUGGCUGAUUCCACGCUGAAAGGCCCCUAGGGAUUCAACUGCGUGGUGCCGAUGGACAGACAGAAACCCAGGACAGACAGUGGAGCAGGAGACUCAGUGCUAUGAGGUGCCCGCCGAGGUGCCUGGGUGUGCCCACGCCUGCCCAUGCCUGCCCACGCCUCUCUCCCUCCUUUUCCAGGGAAAUGAGCCUCUUGAGCAGGCGUGAUGUCUUCCUUGUCUGCUGCUGUUGUGUACCCAGCACUGGGUAGGGCCUGAUAAAAAGAUGUGGAGUCAACCAAGGUGUCCACAGAUCAAUGGAGAGACUCAGAAAACACAGUGCACAUACACAGUGGGGUACUGUGCAGCUGAAAACCAAUGAAAUCCCAUCAUUUGUAGAAAUAGUGAUGGAGCCCCGGGGCUUUGUGUUAAGUGAAAUAAACCAGGCACAGAAAGACAAAUACACAUUCUCACUCUUUCGUAGACACUGAAGGGGAUG
Molecule: long non-coding RNA, 612 nt
Organism: Heterocephalus glaber (naked mole-rat)
Lineage: Eukaryota; Metazoa; Chordata; Mammalia; Rodentia; Bathyergidae
Source: RefSeq, a predicted model, not a curated record